This 345-nucleotide transfer-messenger RNA is filed under the name Eubacteriales. RNAcentral describes it as "UMGS1384 sp015067705 Standard tmRNA". It matches the Rfam family "transfer-messenger RNA". Rfam says of the family: Bacterial tmRNA, also known as 10Sa RNA or SsrA, is named for its dual tRNA and mRNA-like properties. Its role is to liberate the mRNA from a stalled ribosome. The record is from RNAcentral. Lineage: Bacteria; Bacillati; Bacillota; Clostridia. RNAcentral also lists the same sequence under 1 other name.
GGGGGCGUACCGGUUUCGACGGGGAUGCCGAUACAUGGGCAGCGGGCAGCGGGGCGGGCCGCUAUAAAAACUGCACCUUAUAAAUUAAGUAACAAUACUGAACUUGUUGCUGCGUAACUAACGCGGCCGUCCACCCCGGGAGGACCACGGCCCGGGACCUGGGCGUGACUGAGUGGUGCCCGUGCGUGCGCUAAGCUUUGCGCGCACCACGCAUAAUGAAGCUACCAAACCCGCAAGCCUGACGACCGGCGUGCGGCAGAGGGAAUCCUAAAAGAUCGUCUGCGCCCGGAGAAGCCCAUGGGGACGUGUUUUCGGACAGGGGUUCAACUCCCCUCGCCUCCACCA